RNAcentral lists this transfer RNA (71 nucleotides) under Felis catus (domestic cat). It matches the Rfam family "tRNA". From Rfam's summary of the family: Transfer RNA (tRNA) molecules are approximately 80 nucleotides in length. Their secondary structure includes four short double-helical elements and three loops (D, anti-codon, and T loops). The record is from Rfam by way of RNAcentral. Lineage: Eukaryota; Metazoa; Chordata; Mammalia; Carnivora; Felidae.
GCCUGGGUGGCUGAGUCAGUUAAGCAUCUGACUUCUGCUCAGGUUCGUGGGUUCAAGCCCAACAUCAGGUG